RNAcentral lists this ribosomal RNA (1385 nucleotides) under Leptobrachium pullum (Vietnam spadefoot toad). RNAcentral's name for it is "partial 16S rRNA". It matches the Rfam family "Bacterial large subunit ribosomal RNA", at positions 132 to 2569 of the family's 2925-position model. Lineage: Eukaryota; Metazoa; Chordata; Amphibia; Anura; Megophryidae. The record is from RNAcentral.
AGUUCUUAUCCUAGCCUAACUAUUUUGACUAUAAAUCAAAAAACUCCAAUUAAAACCAAUUAAAACAUUUUUUAUCUUUAGUAUACGUGAAAAAAAAAGAAACUAGAGCAAUAGUGACAGUACCGCAAGGGAAAGGUGAAAUAACAAUGAAAUAAUACUCAACAUAAAAAAGCAAAGAUUAAAUCUUAUACCUUUUGCAUCAUGGCCUAACAAGUCUAACCAGGCAAAAUGAAUUUUAGUCUGACUUCCCGAAACUAGGUGAGCUACUCCGAAGCGCAUAAACAACCCGUCUCUGUGGCAAAAGAGUGGGGAGACUUCCGAGUAGAGGCGAAAAACCUAUCGAACUUAGUGAUAGCUGGUUGCUCAAGAAAAGAAUUUUAGUUCUGUUUUAAAAAUUUUAAGCACUUAAAGCAUAUUUUUAAGAAUUAUUCAAUUAGGGUACAGCCUAAUUGAAAUAGGAUACAACCUAAAUUUUAGGAUAAUGAUUAAAUUUAAAAAAGUUAAAGGCUAAGUUGGCCUAAAAGCAGCCAUCUUUAAAAAAGCGUCAAAGCUUAACCUUAUAUCUUCUUUUAUUUUAUUUACUUUUCAAAAUCCAACAUCCUUACUGAGCUAUUCUAUAUCAUUAUAGAAGUAUUAAUGUUAGGACUAGUAAUAUAGAAUUAUUUCUCUUCCAUGUAAGUAAAAAUCAGUUCGAAUACUUCACUGAUAACUAAUCAGAUUUGAAUAUAAAGUAAUUUUGGAAUCUCCCAUGAGAAUACUACUUUUACUUCUGUUAAUCUUACACAAGAACAUGCAAGAAAGAUUUAAAGACUAAGAACGAACUCGGGCAAACACUAGUCUCGCCUGUUUACGAAAAACAUCGCCUUUUGAAAAUUAUAAAAGGUAACGCCUGCCCAGUGACAUCUGUUUAACCGCCCGCGGUAUUCUGACCGUGCGAAGGUAGCGUAAUCACUUGUCUUUUAAAUAAAGACUAGUAUGAAUGGCAUCACGAAGACUUAACUGUCUCCUUAGUCCUAUCCGUGAAACUGAUCUUCCCGUGCAAAAGCGGGAAUAAAAUCAUAAGACGAGAAGACCCUAUGGAGCUUAAAACUAAAACCUAGCUAUCCUAUCUAUUAAAAUUAACUAAUACUAUAUAUGUAUAGACUUAAUUAAAGUUUUCAGUUGGGGUGACUGUGGAGAAAAACUAAUCCUCCAUGUAGAAUUAAGCUUUGAAUCACCAUUCUUAGCAUUAGCAAGUCUAACUUUACUUGAUCCAAUAAUUUUGAUCAACGGACCAAGUUACCCUAGGGAUAACAGCGCAAUCCAUUUCAAGAGUCCAUAUCGACAAAUGGGUUUACGACCUCGAUGUUGGAUUAGGACACCCUAGUGGUGCAGCCGCUACUAAC